This is an RNA transcript of Cornus florida, 1866 nucleotides long. It is a transcript of the gene named replication factor C subunit 1, with no coding region annotated. The record is from RefSeq and is a predicted model, not a curated record. Lineage: Eukaryota; Viridiplantae; Streptophyta; Magnoliopsida; Cornales; Cornaceae. The transcript is spliced from 5 exons.
CUUCCUUAAGCUGCAUAUAUGCACACAUACCACAGUGCUCCGAUUCAGCCUCCGCCAUGAGACGAAGUUUGGUGAAUCUUCAAAACCCAACACUCCCUUAUCGACAAACCCUAAUCCCAGCCUCAGCCUACUCCACCUCUGGCGGCGCUGGUGGCGGAGGAGGCGGCGGCAGAGGUCGGGGACGAGGCUCCUCUUCAUUUCCCCCCACCUCUCACUUCACUCCCCGCACCCCAGGAAAGACCGAGUCCGACGAUCCCAACACAGACGAGUCGCCCGAAAGCAACUUCUCCGCCGGAAUCGGUCGUGGUCAUGGCCGUGGUAAACCCCUCCCUUCAACUCCGAUUCUUCCAUCAUUUUCUUCAUUCGUGUCGAACGUGAGAGGUACUGGUCGAGGCCGAGUCACAAGCCCACAGCAAUCCGAUCCACGUCCACCAGAACCAGAACAAUCUGGACCCAAGAAACCCAUCUUCUUCCGCAGAGAAGACGCAUCCGAUUCGACACCCAAAGCCCCAAUUCGCGAUCUGGGUCGAAACCCAGAAGAGAGUGAUCUCCCUUCGGGCAUCUUGUCGGUGUUAGCCGAUGCCGGUGCCGGCCGCGGCAAGCCCGAGAAACCGGCGGAUUCCGGCGAGAAGGUGAAGGUGGAAAACCGGCAUCUCCGAGCCAGGCCACCAGGACAGGGACCCACUAGGGAGAGAGGUGCGAGUGUUGCGACUGAGAAGACCAGUGAUUUGCCGAAGUUGAGCCGCGAGGAGGCGGUGAAGAAGGCGAUGGGAAUACUGUCGAAGGGGGGCGGCGGGGACAACAGAGGGGAAGAAGGCGGAAGGGGAAGAGGGUCUGGAGGGAGAGGUUCUCGCGGCGGCCGAGGAAGGGGAAGAGGGUUUAGAGAUAGAGGGGACAGAAGAAGUCGAGCUCGGGAUGAGGAGGAGAUGAUCAUCGACGACGAUGAUGUUGACGACGGCGCUGAUGAAAUAUUGGCUAAGCGGAUUGGUCCCGAGAAUAUGAGUAAAUUGGUGGAAGAUUUCGAAGAAUUGAGCUACACAGUAUUGCCUUCUCCUGCUGAUGAUGCAUAUUUGGAUGCGAUGAACACCAAUUAUAUGAUAGAGUGUGAACCAGAGUACUUGAUGGAGGAAUUCGGAACCAAUCCCAAUAUUGAUGAGAAGCCUCCGAUUCCUCUUCGUGAUGCUCUUGAGAAGAUGAAGCCAUUCUUGAUGGCUUACGAAGGAAUUCAAAGUCAAGAAGAGUGGGAGGAAGCCAUUAAAGAAACUAUGGAGAAAGUCCCUAUUAUAAAAGAGAUUGUGGAUCAUUAUAGUGGACCUGACAGAGUAACUGCAAAGAGACAAGAGGAAGAGCUGGAAAGAGUCGCAAAAACUCUUCCUGAACGUGCUCCUGCUUCUGUAAAGCGGUUUACAGAUCGUGCUGUUCUUUCUCUCAAGAGCAACCCAGGAUGGGGAUUUGAUAAGAAAUGCCAAUUCAUGGAUAAGCUUGUGUGGGAGGUCUCACAGCAUUAUAAAUAAGCACGUUGUGUCAUCUUGCUAAUCAAACCGAGUGAAAAGCAUAUUCACUACUUACAUCAUUCAGGAUUAUCACAAGGGAUAGCAGUGAGCUACUAGGGACUUUGGGAGUUAGUCUUCAGUUUGAUUCACAUCUUCAAUGACUGACGGAGGCCUGAACUUUUUAAUAUUGGCUAGUACUCUCAAGCGUUUUUAUUCUCGUUAUGAUUGCAAGCCUGUAGAGUGUAGACACUAAAAAUUUCUGAUCAAGAAACCUACAUUGUUGUUUCAAGCUAGUGUCAUAGUUCUUGUUUAGUCAUUUUGGAGACUAGCUGCAUCAUAUAGCCCAAUUAUUAUGUGGGAACUAAGCAUUGUA